This 253-nucleotide ribosomal RNA is filed under the name uncultured bacterium. Its description in RNAcentral is "partial 16S ribosomal RNA". It matches the Rfam family "Bacterial small subunit ribosomal RNA", at positions 524 to 776 of the family's 1533-position model. The record is from RNAcentral.
UACGGGGGGUGCGAGCGUUGUCCGGAAUCACUGGGCGUAAAGAGCUCGUAGGCGGUUUGUCGCGUCUGCUGUGAAAACCGGAGGCUCAACCUCCGGCCUGCAGUGGGUACGGGCAAACUAGAGUGCGGUAGGGGAGAUUGGAAUUCCUGGUGUAGCGGUGGAAUGCGCAGAUAUCAGGAGGAACACCGGUGGCGAAGGCGGGUCUCUGGGCCGAUAUUGACGCUGAGGAGCGAAAGCGUGGGGAGCGAACAGG